Molecule: ribosomal RNA, 2696 nt
Filed under: Staphylococcus aureus
Lineage: Bacteria; Bacillati; Bacillota; Bacilli; Caryophanales; Staphylococcaceae
Also listed under: 1 other name
Description: partial 23S ribosomal RNA
Rfam family: Bacterial large subunit ribosomal RNA
Source: RNAcentral
AAAAUUCGAUUCCCUUAGUAGCGGCGAGCGAAAUGGGAAGAGCCCAAACCAACAAGCUUGCUUGUUGGGGUUGUAGGACACUCUAUACGGAGUUACAAAGGACGACAUUAGACGAAUCAUCUGGAAAGAUGAAUCAAAGAAGGUAAUAAUCCUGUAGUCGAAAAUGUUGUCUCUCUUGAGUGGAUCCUGAGUACGACGGAGCACGUGAAAUUCCGUCGGAAUCUGGGAGGACCAUCUCCUAAGGCUAAAUACUCUCUAGUGACCGAUAGUGAACCAGUACCGUGAGGGAAAGGUGAAAAGCACCCCGGAAGGGGAGUGAAAUAGAACCUGAAACCGUGUGCUUACAAGUAGUCAGAGCCCGUUAAUGGGUGAUGGCGUGCCUUUUGUAGAAUGAACCGGCGAGUUACGAUUUGAUGCAAGGUUAAGCAGUAAAUGUGGAGCCGUAGCGAAAGCGAGUCUGAAUAGGGCGUUUAGUAUUUGGUCGUAGACCCGAAACCAGGUGAUCUACCCUUGGUCAGGUUGAAGUUCAGGUAACACUGAAUGGAGGACCGAACCGACUUACGUUGAAAAGUGAGCGGAUGAACUGAGGGUAGCGGAGAAAUUCCAAUCGAACCUGGAGAUAGCUGGUUCUCUCCGAAAUAGCUUUAGGGCUAGCCUCAAGUGAUGAUUAUUGGAGGUAGAGCACUGUUUGGACGAGGGGCCCCUCUCGGGUUACCGAAUUCAGACAAACUCCGAAUGCCAAUUAAUUUAACUUGGGAGUCAGAACAUGGGUGAUAAGGUCCGUGUUCGAAAGGGAAACAGCCCAGACCACCAGCUAAGGUCCCAAAAUAUAUGUUAAGUGGAAAAGGAUGUGGCGUUGCCCAGACAACUAGGAUGUUGGCUUAGAAGCAGCCAUCAUUUAAAGAGUGCGUAAUAGCUCACUAGUCGAGUGACACUGCGCCGAAAAUGUACCGGGGCUAAACAUAUUACCGAAGCUGUGGAUUGUCCUUUGGACAAUGGUAGGAGAGCGUUCUAAGGGCGUUGAAGCAUGAUCGUAAGGACAUGUGGAGCGCUUAGAAGUGAGAAUGCCGGUGUGAGUAGCGAAAGACGGGUGAGAAUCCCGUCCACCGAUUGACUAAGGUUUCCAGAGGAAGGCUCGUCCGCUCUGGGUUAGUCGGGUCCUAAGCUGAGGCCGACAGGCGUAGGCGAUGGAUAACAGGUUGAUAUUCCUGUACCACCUAUAAUCGUUUUAAUCGAUGGGGGGACGCAGUAGGAUAGGCGAAGCGUGCGAUUGGAUUGCACGUCUAAGCAGUAAGGCUGAGUAUUAGGCAAAUCCGGUACUCGUUAAGGCUGAGCUGUGAUGGGGAGAAGACAUUGUGUCUUCGAGUCGUUGAUUUCACACUGCCGAGAAAAGCCUCUAGAUAGAAAAUAGGUGCCCGUACCGCAAACCGACACAGGUAGUCAAGAUGAGAAUUCUAAGGUGAGCGAGCGAACUCUCGUUAAGGAACUCGGCAAAAUGACCCCGUAACUUCGGGAGAAGGGGUGCUCUUUAGGGUUAACGCCCAGAAGAGCCGCAGUGAAUAGGCCCAAGCGACUGUUUAUCAAAAACACAGGUCUCUGCUAAACCGUAAGGUGAUGUAUAGGGGCUGACGCCUGCCCGGUGCUGGAAGGUUAAGAGGAGUGGUUAGCUUCUGCGAAGCUACGAAUCGAAGCCCCAGUAAACGGCGGCCGUAACUAUAACGGUCCUAAGGUAGCGAAAUUCCUUGUCGGGUAAGUUCCGACCCGCACGAAAGGCGUAACGAUUUGGGCACUGUCUCAACGAGAGACUCGGUGAAAUCAUAGUACCUGUGAAGAUGCAGGUUACCCGCGACAGGACGGAAAGACCCCGUGGAGCUUUACUGUAGCCUGAUAUUGAAAUUCGGCACAGCUUGUACAGGAUAGGUAGGAGCCUUUGAAACGUGAGCGCUAGCUUACGUGGAGGCGCUGGUGGGAUACUACCCUAGCUGUGUUGGCUUUCUAACCCGCACCACUUAUCGUGGUGGGAGACAGUGUCAGGCGGGCAGUUUGACUGGGGCGGUCGCCUCCUAAAAGGUAACGGAGGCGCUCAAAGGUUCCCUCAGAAUGGUUGGAAAUCAUUCAUAGAGUGUAAAGGCAUAAGGGAGCUUGACUGCGAGACCUACAAGUCGAGCAGGGUCGAAAGACGGACUUAGUGAUCCGGUGGUUCCGCAUGGAAGGGCCAUCGCUCAACGGAUAAAAGCUACCCCGGGGAUAACAGGCUUAUCUCCCCCAAGAGUUCACAUCGACGGGGAGGUUUGGCACCUCGAUGUCGGCUCAUCGCAUCCUGGGGCUGUAGUCGGUCCCAAGGGUUGGGCUGUUCGCCCAUUAAAGCGGUACGCGAGCUGGGUUCAGAACGUCGUGAGACAGUUCGGUCCCUAUCCGUCGUGGGCGUAGGAAAUUUGAGAGGAGCUGUCCUUAGUACGAGAGGACCGGGAUGGACAUACCUCUGGUGUACCAGUUGUCGUGCCAACGGCAUAGCUGGGUAGCUAUGUGUGGACGGGAUAAGUGCUGAAAGCAUCUAAGCAUGAAGCCCCCCUCAAGAUGAGAUUUCCCAACUUCGGUUAUAAGAUCCCUCAAAGAUGAUGAGGUUAAUAGGUUCGAGGUGGAAGCAUGGUGACAUGUGGAGCUGACGAAUACUAAUCGAUCGAAGACUUAAUCAA